AUCUUGUCAUCAUCACCUCGUUGCCUCUUUUUUUCGCUCAGCUCCACAUAAUGCUGAUCUGCAUCUCUACUAAGUAUUUAUGUAUGCUUUAGACUCUACAUGACGAGUGCAUUUGUAGCGGGUUCCUCUAGGAUCUCUGCUUCUCUAGGCAUGGAGAUGAUACUUUAUUGGAUCUCUUUAUCCUCUCAGACCAAUUAAAGGGUAGGGUGCGAAGAGGGAAGAGAGGAACAUAGGCAGGGAGAUUUAUAUUUCAUCGAAAAUCAUAGGAUGUUGUGAAUUUCAUAAAGCUGAGAACCGCUGGAAGAGGGAAAGGGCUUCACUGUUAUUGAGCGCUUAGAAGAGAAGAAGGCGCUUCUUAGUGAGGGUUUAUUGAUGUGAAAUCUAAGAGAAAUGAUUCAGCCUCCUGGGGAAAAAGGAUUUCCUCGCUUGGAAUCAUUCUUGAGCAAGUUGAGCUUUUCUUUACCUCUUUGGCGUGGAUGCUGAGCUCUCUAACUGGUGUGGGCGUCUUUAAUGGGCCUCUAACUGGCACGGCCUUGGAGAAAUUGGUCGAGAAAAAGAGAUCGGGACAAACCUGUGUGAAGCCCGGACUUGUUUCACCAAGGCCCACUUCUGUGCAUGUUUCCCUCCACGCUGAGAGACUGCUGGAGACGAAUAGGAAAAUGAAUGGAGGGAAACAUUAAAAGAGAGCUAAAUGCAAAUGGAGAGAUGGAUAGAAAUGUAGAGAGAGAUAGAGAGAUGGUGAUUGAAAGAAAGUUAGAGAGAGAGAGAGAGAGAGAGAUGACCUGGCAGGGCCAGACUUCCGCCUAUUGCGGCCCGUUGAAUUAUAAAUCCCCUCUUUAAUGAUAUCAACCAUUGAAAAAAAAAGGGGAAGAAAAAACAAAAGCUUAUCCAAUUCUGGUCCCCGUCCCUUUUCUGUACGCCUGAUCACUUUGGC
This 934-nucleotide long non-coding RNA is filed under the name Spirodela polyrhiza (greater duckweed). Its description in RNAcentral is "long non-coding RNA (SPOL_LNC001051)". Lineage: Eukaryota; Viridiplantae; Streptophyta; Magnoliopsida; Alismatales; Araceae. The record is from RNAcentral.